Molecule: ribosomal RNA, 469 nt
Filed under: uncultured bacterium
Lineage: Bacteria
Description: bacterial SSU rRNA
Rfam family: Bacterial small subunit ribosomal RNA
Source: RNAcentral
GAUGAACGCUGGCGGCAUGCCUAAGACAUGCAAGUCGAACGAAGAUGCCGGAGUGCUUGCACUUUGGCAGACUGAGUGGCGGACGGGUGAGUAACGCGUGGGUAACCUGCCUUAUACAGGGGGACAACAGUUGGAAACGACUGCUAAUACCGCAUAAGCGCACAGUACCGCAUGGUACAGAGCGAAAAACUCCGGUGGUAUAGGAUGGGCCCGCGUCUGAUUAGUUAGUUGGCGGUGUAACGGACCACCAAGACGACGAUCAGUAGCCGGCUUGAGAGAGUGAACGGCCACAUUGGGACUGAGACACGGCCCAAACUCCUACGGGAGGCAGCAGUGGGGAAUAUUGCACAAUGGGGGAAACCCUGAUGCAGCAACGCCGCGUGAGUGAAGAAGUAUUUCGGUAUGUAAAGCUCUAUCAGCAGGGAAGAAAAUGACGGUACCUGACUAAGAAGCCCCGGCUAACUACGUG